CCCUUCUCUCAGUGUGCCCUAAGCCAAGUACUCGUUCUCAUUUGGGUGUCUGCACUGUUGGAAGCUACUGCACUGUGUUUCCACGCAGACAGAGUACAGUGGGAAAGGCUUUCUCCAGCUGAUGGAUGGCUGUUCUCUUUAUUUGGAGUAUCUUACUGGUUAUGUAAGCGACCUCGAGAGAAAUUAUCCUGACCCAGAUCGGAGGAUGCAGUAGUGCUUCAGCUGCAGGAUUUCUUAGUCGUUAACACCACAGUGCUGAUGACAAAGAGCGAGUUGUAAUCCUCAUCACUGCCAGGGCUGAGCCAGAGCAGACAGAAAAUCGUCAUUUGCUCGUUGGAGACUUGUUAGGUUACAGCUCCUGCUUCGUUCUGUGGUCUUGGCUUUUCUUCCUAUACAAUGACGCCGCUGCAAGUGAGCUCAGAAAUGCUUGGUUUGAGAGCCAUUUGCCUGUGAUUUUUGAAGACUAAAGAAGUAUUUACACUAGAUACUCUUCCAGAACAAAAUAGAAAUUUCAGCAAAUACUUACUGACCUUUAAAGCCUUGUGGAUUUCUGAGAUUUAAAGAUACUUUAAAAUUCUCAAGAACAAAACUUUCAAACCUCUGGUUGAAAGAAAUAUACCCAGUUCAGUCACUGCAGUAGAAUUCCUUGUAGAUAAGCAACUGGAUUUUUUAACUGAAGAUAGUGCCUUUCAGCCCUACCAGGUCCUUAUUCCUUAAAUGGAUACAGAGUGAGAGUAUAUAGACAAGACUCUGCCACCCAGUGGUUUACUGGCAUAAUUACUCAUCAUGAUCUCUUCACCCGCACCAUGAUCGUUAUGAAUGAUCAGGUGAAAAUAUUGGCAUUACAUCACGACGCAGGUCUCGUGCCAAUCAAAACGUCAACGCUGUUCACAGCCAUUAUACACGUGCC
Molecule: small RNA, 910 nt
Filed under: Pan troglodytes (chimpanzee)
Lineage: Eukaryota; Metazoa; Chordata; Mammalia; Primates; Hominidae
Description: processed transcript
Source: RNAcentral